UUAAACCUGCUGUGUUUGUGAUGGCAUCAUUCGUUUUGAGCCAACAAUCACAUAUAGGGAGACCAACAUCUCGUGUGGAGGUGAUAGGCCCUGAGCCAAGACCAAAGCAACGAUGCGGUCACCCACCUGCGAGAGCAGGUUCAAAACUUUUUUGUCCACACGGCAUAGCGGGUGGUCA
This 178-nucleotide non-coding RNA is filed under the name Anaerolineaceae bacterium. Its description in RNAcentral is "6S RNA". It matches the Rfam family "6S / SsrS RNA". From Rfam's summary of the family: E. coli 6S RNA was the first non coding RNA to be sequenced, but its function was unknown until recently. It consists of 184 nucleotides that fold into an extended hairpin structure with a large single-stranded internal bulge. The 6S RNA specifically associates with RNA polymerase holoenzyme containing the sigma70 specificity factor. The record is from RNAcentral. Lineage: Bacteria; Bacillati; Chloroflexota; Anaerolineae; Anaerolineales; Anaerolineaceae.